Molecule: ribosomal RNA, 500 nt
Filed under: uncultured bacterium
Lineage: Bacteria
Description: bacterial SSU rRNA
Rfam family: Bacterial small subunit ribosomal RNA
Source: RNAcentral
GGCUCAGGAUGAACGCUAGCUACAGGCUUAACACAUGCAAGUCGAGGGGGAAACGACAUCGAAAGCUUGCUUUUGAUGGGCGUCGACCGGCGCACGGGUGAGUAACGCGUAUCCAACCUGCCCAUCACUUGGGGAUAACCUUGCGAAAGUAAGACUAAUACCCAAUGAUAUCUCUAGAAGACAUCUGAAGGAGAUUAAAGAUUUAUCGGUGAUGGAUGGGGAUGCGUCUGAUUAGCUUGUUGGCGGGGUAACGGCCCACCAAGGCAACGAUCAGUAGGGGUUCUGAGAGGAAGGUCCCCCACAUUGGAACUGAGACACGGUCCAAACUCCUACGGGAGGCAGCAGUGAGGAAUAUUGGUCAAUGGACGAGAGUCUGAACCAGCCAAGUAGCGUGCAGGAUGACGGCCCUAUGGGUUGUAAACUGCUUUUAUAAGGGAAUAAAGUGAGCCUCGUGAGGCUUUUUGCAUGUACCUUAUGAAUAAGGACCGGCUAAUUCCGUG